UCCGCUUGGGCGUAGGUCAUGCUGAGCUCAUAGCCAGCCCCAUCCCCCAUCUCGUCACCCGCCUGCUAUCAUCUGAGGGCUCUCCUCUUCUCGGUUUGUAGGAAAUCUCUGCCCUCUCCGGGGCUCUUCCUCUUUUUUUUUCUCAUCCUCGUUUCCCCCCCAUUCCGGCUUCCGUCCUCUCCCAUCAACCUCUCUCCUCCGGUGAAUCGAUCCUCGUACUAUCCAGAGAAUAAGGGAUCCUGUUGGCAAAAUGAUUUUUCUUUGUCAGGUUUUGCUCUGUAUGGUAAGAUAUCUAUAUCUCUGCUGUAUAUAGAUGCAAUGUACCUAAAUAAUUGGUGGUUCAGGUGAUUCAGAGAUGCUCUGUAUUUAUGGCUGCUACUGACUCCCAUUGUUCAGAAAUUUAUUUAAUGCUCUUUUUUUUUUGUGCCAAUAAAUAUAUUAUGAAAUCUAAGCUGUUCUGUACAGAAAGGACAAUUGUUGUUCAUUAUGAUUAUUACUGAAAUAUCUUCUGCAAUUAAGUAAUUCAAGAAGUUAACAACAUUAUUUCCUCAAGUUCCUUAGUGCCAUCAGAUCACAAGCCAAACCUCACAUUCCUAAAAUAAUACUACUUGGUAACCAUAAGCAUAAUCCAACAAAUCUCAUGCCUUUUAUUUGGUAUAUUAUCCUAUUACCUCAAUAUGAUUCAUGCAAGUAUAAUCAUCAUAUGACUAAUUUGAUAGUUGCUAGAGAUGAAGUUCCCAAAUCCAUACAUAACGACAUAUAGGGAUGGUGGUAUAUACCUUAAAUGUCUUUAUAUUCUUCAGUAUCCAUCUAAAUACACAUUAUCUGUACAUGGAUCUGCAUGAAGUGAGUUGCAUAUGUAUAUUUGUCUAAUACUAGCAAGAAUUCUUUUCUUAGGACAGCGCACCUGCUCCAAAAUCUUCAUGGAAACUCAUCCCUACACUUGAACCCACUUCUGGUAGCUAAGGGCCAACUUCUCAUGUCAUAUUAGUGAAUAAAGAAAUAAAAAUGAGUUCUUGUAAUAUUCAUCAAUUAAAAAAUCAGUGUUUUAAGGACUGAAAUGUGCUGGGUGGUAUCGGGUGUAACCCAUUUGCCUGGUAUGGUACCAUUUUUGGUCCAAUUCUGGGGCUUGGUACACCCCCUUACCAACACAUGGUAUGAGUGCUUUGCUGACUCCAACAUUGUACCAUGUGCAGAUAUGAAGAAUAUUGUAUCAUACAAUACUAUACCAGUAUGUUACUCGUACUCAGCCUAGCACUAGAACUUACAUUAUUGAAAGAAUCUAUAUGCGAAUUUCACCAAAAAAAAAAAAAGAAUAUAUAUGCGAAGCAAGAAAGAUAAACCAGUUCAAUAGUUUUAUAAGGUGUCAAUUUUUUUUAUAAUAUUUCUUAUGUUUUGAUGAAAAUGACGUGGUAUUUGCUUUCUUUUUGUUAGCCACCUUAGAGCUGACAUCUCUACCAGGUUUGAACAUGCACUCUUUGUAUUUUCUUUGGAUGCCUUUUCUUACCUUCAGUCCGAAAUGUUUUCAUCUUGGCCUAGAAAUUGGUUCCUAUUGGUAUUGGAAACUUGCCUGCCCUUGCUAUCUCAACUGAUGUAAAGAAACAUGUCCUGAGUUGACAUUGGCUGAUACUGAACAUAUUGGCCUUGAUUUUUUUAAUCUUUUGGGAGCAACAAUGUUAAAUGGGAUUUUAAAUUAAUAAAAAGUUAAAGCCAAUGCUUUAAAUAUAGUUAAUCCCAGUUUUCAUAUAUUGGCCAAGCACUAGGAAUGUCUUGCUACUUUGCGAAUUUUUGCAGCCUUCCAUCUUCACUGACAUAAACCGAGAUAUUGGUACAACUUGGCUCCGGUCAUCCAGUGAGAUGGCCAAGAUACAAUCCAGAAACUUUGUCAAGUAACCUUUCAUUGUAUAACAUUGUUGUCUUGUUAGGACACUUUAUCUAAGAGAUUGCUAUAUGCUUCUCUGUUUAGUUCUGUGAGCUUCUUUGCUUGAUGAGCAGUUUGAUGUGUUGUAAAAUUUUCAUUUUGAUCUCCACAAACCAAGACUUUACGUCUAUUUCUAAGAUAACGAUCUAAUUGACAAAAUUGAAAAUUGGAGAAAAAAAAAUCCAAAUUCAGAAGGUUUGCUCUGACCUUUCCAAAAUUGGGUGCUUGUAAAUAGUAUGCAUAAUUAAUUUUUGUGACUUACAUGUUUAUCUACCACCUCUUUUGUUUUUUAUUUGUAGUUGUAUUUUAAUGCUGAGAUCUGCUGGGUUUAUCUCCAUAAUAGAAAAUAUUUCAGGUUUGUUUUGAGCAAGGUUGUAAAUCAAGUUCAAAAUGAUCAUAUAAGGGUUGGUUUCUUGAAACAUCCGGAAUUGCGAUCUAAGACAUCUUAUUUUGCAGGUUGAGAGCUUUGUGAAACUUCUAUAGUUGCCUGGCUCUAAGAGAAUUUCUUAUAUAUCAUGAUUCUAACCAAACAUUUAGCUCCCAUAAGGUUGAUGUAUACCCUGUUUUUAUACAUCAUCAGAUGAUCUUGAAUUUGUUUGAAUCAUCAGGCAAAUCCUUCUUUAUUUGCUUGUACUCUGGUUCUAAGAACUUAUGUAAAUGAGCAAAUGGAGAUUUAGAAUGUCUAUAUUAUACAAAAAAGACAAUAAUUAAGUCAAUGUUAUGAAUCAUUUGGUUGAUUGUGAACUAACUGUGGUUCUUAUUUGACCGGUAAGGAACGGAAAAUUGAUAGAGAACCAUGAAAAUAAAGCUGUGCAUGCAGAAAGAGUUUUUAUCGGAUGAAGGUUUUCGUCUAAAUGUAGUCAAAAUCUCGCAUAUACCAAUUCCACACCCUGUGAAAGGAACAUUUGCAAAUGAAUUUUGUUAUUGACUGUUAUAAGGAUUAGAGAUUGGAAUGGUAGUAUCUUUAACUUUUCCAUGUUAAAUGCGUUUCUAGUUUACCUUUGGCAUUCCUGCUUCAUUUAGCUUGUGUGCAGAAAGUUUCACUUGCACUUUUAAUAUAAAUGAAUGUAAUUCAUUUUAUAUUUUGGUCUCCCUGUUUUUUUUAAAAAAAAUUACAGUUUACUUCCUACCUAGGGUCAAACCUUUCUCACGUGCAUCGAUGUUUUGCAAAUUCUUUGCUCCGGUACUUUAGACAGCUUGAAUCUCUUAAAAAAAUUGUCAGCUUGCAAUUUCCAUGGAUAAGUGCAAUCAUAUCUCACUGAUAUUAGCUUAAGCUGGGUUGCAAAGAGACUCGAAGUGAUAUGUAGCUUCCUUGCAUAUGAUUGAUUUCAUCAUGAAAAUAGUAGCUCAAGUCAUUUUGAAGAACCAUCUUUUGAUAUUGUAUUGGCCAACGCUUGGUCAUAAUUAUACUUUUCAUUUUCAAGUCUAUUACCAACCAAGCAAAUUUGGUAUAUGCCUGCGAAUCAAAUUCUUGUGAUUUGGCGAAGCUGUUUUGAUUAUUCUAAUUCUAUGAUAUGCCCUUAGAUCCAUAAUGACUAUCAUACCUGUAUAGAAUGUCCUUUUCUUUGGAAACAGAAUAAUGCAAAAUUUAUUCCACUUCACAUAUCACCAUUUGCAGCAUGUGAUAUACAUCUUAGGACUCUUGUAUGGUCCUUUAAUGGAGACUGUCAGAUAUGUAUUGAACUUUCUUUUACUUGUUUGGAAUGUUAAUAGCUUAAGUUUGUGUAUUUAACUUGUUAUCUCUCAUUACGCACUAUCCAACAUCCUUAAUUAGUUUGUGUAAAUGAGCUCAUGGUCAACGUUUGUCAUACUUAAUGCUGCCUUAUUAUUUUGUACGUCUGUAUUUCUUAUAUUUUUUGCAAUAGAACUACGGUGGAGUUUUUUGAGUUAUGUAUUUCCAUUUUGAUGGGGCACUCCAACUUUGUCCACAUUUGCAGAAGCGCCACAGCGUCACUUCAACUUGUUUUUAAUGCUUCAGGUUAUGGACGUAUUGUAGCCCCAAUAGCAUCCAGCAUAUAAGAUAUUUGUAGCAUGAGCUGGAAAUAGACUUCAACAUUCUAAUAAUAUUGCCAAAGGGUCUUCUUUCGUAUCUUGUGAAAAAAGAAAUACUGAUCGAUUGAAUUAUACGACAAUAAGCCAUACAGAUGGAUGAAUUAUCGAAAGCUGAUCUUAUUCACAUUUUGGUUA
Molecule: long non-coding RNA, 4108 nt
Organism: Phoenix dactylifera (date palm)
Lineage: Eukaryota; Viridiplantae; Streptophyta; Magnoliopsida; Arecales; Arecaceae
Source: RefSeq, a predicted model, not a curated record